AAAUUGAAGAGUUUGAUCAUGGCUCAGAUUGAACGCUGGCGGCAGGCCUAACACAUGCAAGUCGAACGGUAGCACAGAGAGCUUGCUCUCGGGUGACGAGUGGCGGACGGGUGAGUAAUGUCUGGGAAACUGCCCGAUGGAGGGGGAUAACUACUGGAAACGGUAGCUAAUACCGCAUAACGUCGCAAGACCAAAGUGGGGGACCUUCGGGCCUCACACCAUCGGAUGUGCCCAGAUGGGAUUAGCUAGUAGGUGGGGUAACGGCUCACCUAGGCGACGAUCCCUAGCUGGUCUGAGAGGAUGACCAGCCACACUGGAACUGAGACACGGUCCAGACUCCUACGGGAGGCAGCAGUGGGGAAUAUUGCACAAUGGGCGCAAGCCUGAUGCAGCCAUGCCGCGUGUAUGAAGAAGGCCUUCGGGUUGUAAAGUACUUUCAGCGAGGAGGAAGGCGUUGUGGUUAAUAACCACAGCGAUUGACGUUACUCGCAGAAGAAGCACCGGCUAACUCCGUGCCAGCAGCCGCGGUAAUACGGAGGGUGCAAGCGUUAAUCGGAAUUACUGGGCGUAAAGCGCACGCAGGCGGUUUGUUAAGUCAGAUGUGAAAUCCCCGGGCUCAACCUGGGAACUGCAUUUGAAACUGGCAAGCUUGAGUCUCGUAGAGGGGGGUAGAAUUCCAGGUGUAGCGGUGAAAUGCGUAGAGAUCUGGAGGAAUACCGGUGGCGAAGGCGGCCCCCUGGACAAAGACUGACGCUCAGGUGCGAAAGCGUGGGGAGCAAACAGGAUUAGAUACCCUGGUAGUCCACGCCGUAAACGAUGUCUACUUGGAGGUUGUGCCCUUGAGGCGUGGCUUCCGGAGCUAACGCGUUAAGUAGACCGCCUGGGGAGUACGGCCGCAAGGUUAAAACUCAAAUGAAUUGACGGGGGCCCGCACAAGCGGUGGAGCAUGUGGUUUAAUUCGAUGCAACGCGAAGAACCUUACCUGGUCUUGACAUCCACGGAAGUUUUCAGAGAUGAGAAUGUGCCUUCGGGAACCGUGAGACAGGUGCUGCAUGGCUGUCGUCAGCUCGUGUUGUGAAAUGU
Molecule: ribosomal RNA, 1083 nt
Filed under: Salmonella enterica subsp. enterica serovar Kentucky
Lineage: Bacteria; Pseudomonadati; Pseudomonadota; Gammaproteobacteria; Enterobacterales; Enterobacteriaceae
Description: bacterial SSU rRNA
Rfam family: Bacterial small subunit ribosomal RNA
Source: RNAcentral